This 447-nucleotide long non-coding RNA is filed under the name Cricetulus griseus (Chinese hamster). Its description in RNAcentral is "lncRNA (ENSCGRG00015029715.1)". Lineage: Eukaryota; Metazoa; Chordata; Mammalia; Rodentia; Cricetidae. The record is from RNAcentral.
AGUUUUUAACCAGCCACUGCAGGAUAGGAAGUAAUCCUGGAGGGGGUGCAAUCGCCAUUGACCACGACCGGCCACAGUGUGCUGUAUAGGAGUUAACUGAGACUGAUUAUGUAAAGUGCCUUACAUAGUGCCUGUUUACAUAGGGGGCAUCUCGUAAAUGUUAUCUCUUGUUAUCAUUUUGCCAAAGAAGACCUGUCAUGGUAGUUCUGAUGGUGAUUGCUACACACAGUUUCCUGAGUGCUAUGGUGGGUGUGCAUAUCUGGAACCCUGAUGAAUACUCACCAGGCCUGCCACCCUUCUCCUCUCACUAAUGGGGAUUCAGACUCUGGAACCGACGAUAUAAAGGUUUAUUUCUCUCUCCAUCUACCUCCUGCUGGAAGAUUCCCCCUUGUUGCUGGCCCAGUAAACUCCUACAAUUAUCACCCAGGUCUCAGCUCUGCUCACAAG